AGUUCGGAUUGUAGUCUGCAACUCGACUACAUGAAGCUGGAAUCGCUAGUAAUCGCAGAUCAGAAUGCUGCGGUGAAUACGUUCCCGGGUCUUGUACACACCGCCCGUCACACCAUGGGAGUCGGAAAUGCCCGAAGCCGGUGACCCAACCAAAAGGAGGGAGCCGUCGAAGGCAGGUCUGAUAACUGGGGUGAAGUCGUAACAAGGUAGC
This 211-nucleotide ribosomal RNA is filed under the name uncultured bacterium. Its description in RNAcentral is "partial 16S ribosomal RNA". It matches the Rfam family "Bacterial small subunit ribosomal RNA", at positions 1290 to 1500 of the family's 1533-position model. The record is from RNAcentral.